RNAcentral lists this transfer RNA (73 nucleotides) under Gefionella okellyi. Its description in RNAcentral is "tRNA-Met". It matches the Rfam family "tRNA". Rfam says of the family: Transfer RNA (tRNA) molecules are approximately 80 nucleotides in length. The record is from RNAcentral. Lineage: Eukaryota; Malawimonada; Malawimonadea; Malawimonadida; Malawimonadidae.
AGUAAAGUAGUUUAAUGGUAAAAACUUUAGAAUCAUAAUCUAUAAAAUAUGAGUUCAACUCUCAUCUUUACUA